GAGCCACUAGUGAGUGCAAGUGGGGCCCCUGCUCCUUCCCCGUGCUCGUGUCCCCAGGUCUGAUGCUCGGACCCAGAGCUGACCGUGCAGCCCCUCCCUCCUCUCUCUGCUCUGUCCCUGUGCUGGUCUAGCAGGUGGCCAGUGCAUGGCAGGCCUAGGGAGACUUUCCUUCUCCUUUGGGCCAUAACUGGGAACCAGACGUAGGCAAGCGGUCCCGGAGCUCUUUGCCAGGCUGUGCGGAAUCCAGCCGUUAGGUAGGCAACCUUCCAGCCGGACCACGAGCUCAUUCAAAGCGUCUGUCUCGGCCCCCACGCAGCUUUGCCGAGCUCUGCACACGCGAUGGGGAUGUGACCUGGCUUCCGGGGGACAACUGCGGAGAUCAGGAGAGAAACUGUCACCCUGCCGGUUGCCACUGCUGUCCCUCCUCUUCCCACCUGGCCCACGUGGGCCUUGUCCUGCAGCGGGACGACGGUGGUGAGGGGCGACGCCGUGGCCAUGGACACCAACAAGGGGGCUGGCCCCAGCGCUACCGGCGACAAAGACAGGGACCUGCAGAUGCUGUUACAGGAACUCUGGCGGCUCCAGGCAAAGCAGAGGAGGCUGGAGAGAGAGGUGGAGAAGCACAAGCUUUUUGAAGACUACCUGAUGAAGGUCCUUGAGAAAAUCCCCAAGGGUCACUACGAAGGGGAGGAGCCAGAUGAGGCGCUGGUGGGGACCAUGGUGGAGCAUUACGAGAAGCUCUUCAUAGUCAGCCAGGACGUCCAGAAGCAUCUGGAGGCCCUCUCCGAGAUGAAACAGGUCAUCUGCCAGAGGCUGGAGUCUCUAGAGGAGAGCCACAGGGCUCUUAUCCCGAGCCUCAAGAUCCAACUGUGUCAGCUGCAGAAGCGGUGUCACCACCAGCAGAAGCAGUGGCUGCAACUGGAACACCGUGUCACCUCCCAGAAAGACAUGGGCAGCUACAGUAUGGGAAGCAAGGCCGCCACCACUGAACACAGCCCUGAAGACCUGAAGUCUAGGCCUCCAGUGCUGCCCAGAGUGAGGGGCUCCGGGUUCCUCCAUGACCCUUCCCAGCCCCUGCCCCAGAACCAGCUGCUCAACUACGUGCAAAUGGCCAUCGACAGCAUGGUCCGGCAGUGUUCCCCUUCUGCCCGCAGCACGCCCAGGACCAUGGGCCUCUUCUCUAAGCUCGACCUGAUUCAGAAGGGGAGGCUGCAGCUCCGCGGUUAAGUGGCUGGCCCAAGGCGACACAGCCGCUCAGUGGAGGAGCGGGGACAUUAGCCCCAGUCCACGGGCUCCAAAUGGAGCUGCCACCUAGAAGAUGAACGAGUUUUCAUUCUCCUUCAGCAAGUAGUAAGAAGAAAAGUGAACUGUGGCUAAGAGCAAGAGAAGCUGUAUUAGUCAUCAGAGGCUGCGUAACAAGUCACCCCCAAACUCUGCUGAAGAUAAUGAACAUUUAUUACCUCCUUAUUAUUCCUGGGGUCAAGCAUCUGGGCGGGGUUGUGUCCUCUGGCUCCAGUCUCUCCACUAAGCUUCAGUCCAGCUGUCAGCCAGACCUGUGGCUUCGUCUGAAGGCUUGACCAGAAGAGACUCAGCUUCCAGGCUCAUGCAAGUAGCCAUUGGGAAAAGUUCCUCACAGGCUGUGGGACUGGGGGCCUGAGCUCUUCACUGGCUGCUGGCUGUUGGACCACCAGGUGGCCGAUGACAGAGAAGGGGGAGCAAGCAGGACAGAAGCCACAGUCCUACUCUCAGAGGUGGCAACUGGCCACUGAAGUCGAGCCCACGCUUGAGGGGAGAGGGUCACAGUGGUGUGAACACAAGAGGCAGGUUGCUGGAGGCCGUUAGAGGCUGCCUCUCACAGAGGUCACAGACCUGCCACAGGUCUCCUAACUAGGACACGUCCAGGAGGUGGGCUCUCUGCCCCCUCCGAGGAUGGUGAGGACAGGGCUGGGACCAGCAGCGCCCACCAAGCCCAGGGCCCCCACCCUGCCCUGGCCUCAGCUUCCUGUGAACCAUACCCACUGCUUUCUCCUCCCAUGGCAGCAGGGAGCCCUUCCCACCCAGCCCCCCGAGGCUGCGGGGGUACAACACUUGCUGUCUGAGCUGAAGACAUGUUAGCUUUCAGAGCCCAGGCCUGGGGAAGCACACGGUGGGCAGCUGGCUGGAAACCUGGCCCAUCUACUCCUCUCCGGGGGCUGCAGGCCGUGUUUAAUCUGAACAGUGAGCAGAGACUUGGGGGAACCCAGCCUCACAAAAGGAUUUCUCUUCUAGAUUUCCUUGUCUCACAUUUGGGAAGGCAGACCAGCCCGUCGUGGGACUGGCUCCCUGGAACCCUCCUGCAGGGUCCAAGAGAGGCCACAUGCUUUUUGUGGUCUAACUCGAGUUAGCUCUCACCGUGGGUCCCCUCUCCCCGGGCUGCCUGGUGGAAAGUUAAAUCUCGAACAUUUGCGGGGUUCCCUCUCCAUCCUCCGCCAACCCUUUGGCGGUUGUGUGGUCCUGCGCAACUGGUUCAGUGCAGAGUCAUUGGUGGUGACGUCCCCGUGAGAAUGGAGGCUGAGUGAGGGCAGCAAGUUUUGUCAUUUUUGUGCACAGAUGUGCAUAGUCGGUGCCAGUCACGCAUCUGCCUGUCAGAUGUGCAGUAAAUUUUUGCUGAGUGUUGAAUGAAUGGCCUUGGGUCCUGCACCCUCCCUUGCCCCCGACCUAACAUACACAGUGCUUUGAAGGAGGGCACAGAAAGGAUCUUUGCCAGGUCGGGAUCCUGUGUUCCCUUGGGCGGUGCCAACAGGUGACAGGAGAGUGAAGAGCGCCCCUUGUUCUGGACACCUGUUUCCACCGCUUCCCAGAUUCCAGAAUGUUCUCUCCCUAUUCAGUCAGACCUGCCUACCCAUUCUCAACUCUCCCAACUUUCAUUGUUUUUCUUAGAAAUGCCUUUUCUGAAAAAUAAAUGGUUCCUCCUCAUUCCUGCCCCUGGGAGUGGGAACCAGGGCAACCCACUACCUCCAGGGCUGGCCGGCAACUCCCAGGGGACAGGCGUGGGGGAGGGGACGGGACUAAGUCCAGCUCUGAUAUUUCCUGAUCUCCCCCA
Canis lupus familiaris (dog) is the source of this 3082-nucleotide RNA transcript. It is a transcript of the gene named coiled-coil domain containing 197, with no coding region annotated. The transcript has 9 exons. The record is from RefSeq and is a predicted model, not a curated record. NCBI's taxonomy places the organism in Eukaryota, Metazoa, Chordata, Mammalia, Carnivora, Canidae.